GAGGAGGCGACGGCUUGAAAAGUAUAUAAUAAUAUUAACAAGUAAAAAAAUCGUAUGUUUGCCUUUUGGUUUGCUCGUAUUUGGAUACAUACAUUGAUGUGCUUAUAUAAAAGUUCGUCUCCCGCCUAGUGAUAGUUGACGUGUAAACUUACAGCUCUAAUAGCGUCACUGACAAAAUUAGCUGUGAAAACGGGCUUAGCUGGCCGGACGGGAAAAAAACACCGCCAUCGAUUGAUGAUGCUAUUAGAAAAUCGUGUAUUCUAAUUAGCAUUUAAUUUUCAUAAUGUGAUGUAUUGAAUAAUUGGGAAGACACUCGUUUUGGUCGACCAUUAAUAAAUAAAUAAAUUGCCUAUUACUUUCACAGGGUAGGGAGGGAAGUGCAUACGGCCGAAAUUUCUCACGCGGACGACACGCUAGGCCCCGAACCACACAUACACGGCCGGGAUUACUCAAGUGCCGGCGAGCCGUGCGCUUGGCUCGGCCGCUCAACUUCGCCUCGCCGAAUUGAAACUGAGCUCUCGAGACGGUGUUGAACAACCGAUCGGAAACGCUCGGUUGCUGCGGCGGCCGGCGGUUAAAUUCAAACUUAAAUAAUGCGGGAUCCUUGCCCUUAACUGACUAUACGUUUAUACGAACGAAGUGACUAUUAGAUUAACGGCUCCUUGCCUUUAUUUAAUACUGCUCUUAUUCAGAUAAUGCUUACAACUAACAAAAUUAAUUAUUACAUUAACGGCUCCUUGCCUCCUACUUAACU
Molecule: long non-coding RNA, 754 nt
Organism: Drosophila montana
Lineage: Eukaryota; Metazoa; Arthropoda; Insecta; Diptera; Drosophilidae
Exons: 3
Source: RefSeq, a predicted model, not a curated record